UUAAGACAAUCAAAUUCACCAUUAGGACCAACCUCAAUAACUUAGACCCAUCUACAACCAACUGCCUUCUUUCCUGAGGAAGACAAACCAAUUCAUAUGUACCACUAUGUUUAAUAGUAUGCAUUUCAUAAAUCAAGGCUUGUUGCCAUCCAGGGUGAACAAGUGUUUCAUACAUAUUUUUAGGAAUUGUAAGAGAUGACACG
RNAcentral lists this long non-coding RNA (203 nucleotides) under Glycine max (soybean). Its description in RNAcentral is "long non-coding RNA (GMAX_LNC003656)". Lineage: Eukaryota; Viridiplantae; Streptophyta; Magnoliopsida; Fabales; Fabaceae. The record is from RNAcentral.